UUAGACUAAAUUCAUCUAGACAUUCAGUAAUGAGCUGCAAUAAAAACCUUCCCAGAGAUUCAACUGAUUGAUCUGCAUGAGAGUGAGAUCUUUGGAGAACAUGAGACUGGAAUGAGUCUGAUGAGAGAGUUUCUGUACCUUCAACAAUCACUUGAAGAUCUCUAGAUGUUUCUGUGCCGUCUGAGUGAGAGAGUGUUAAUCUGUAAUUCCCAGAAUCUGCUCUGAUCACACGGUUUAUUAUCACAGUCCCAUUAAUGAUGUUCACUUCAGGUCUGUUAUUAUAAAGAUCACAUUCACUCAUCCUCAUACUGUCAUUCUUUACUCUACAAACUGGAUCAUCUUGUGUGUUGUAUAUCCUCUUACGUAUCUUCAGAUCAUAUUCUAUAGUGUGCUGAACCAUCAGCAGAUUGAGUUUGUCUCCCAGAGUUGCGUAACAGGGAUCAGAUUGACCAAAACUGCAGAACCGGUCCAGACCUGAAAAACAAAACACACACACACACACACACACACACAAUUAAAAAUGUACUAAAAUCUAAAGAUGUCAUUGAUUAAAAUGAGACACAAAUCACACACACACACACACACACGCACACACACACACACACAC
Cyprinus carpio carpio is the source of this 607-nucleotide long non-coding RNA. The record is from Ensembl. Lineage: Eukaryota; Metazoa; Chordata; Actinopteri; Cypriniformes; Cyprinidae.